UCAAAUAAAAAUGUCUUAAUAAGCUUGCUUCUCUUCUUCAUGUUGCCUCUCUUCAAUGGAUACCUCGAAGUACCCCCGCCGCCGUGCCGCCGUCGCCGCCGCGCAUCUCCCUCUCCUUGCUUAUCUCCGGCGUGUUCUUCUUUGUCGGUGCCAUCGGGAUCGUCUUCGCCAUUGUCGUGCUCCUUCGCCCCCCGAGGACACGCUUAGGAACUUCCGGUCAAGAUCUAGCGUUGGUGGCGGUGCUGGGUUGGAGGAUCGGCCGAAGCUGCUGGGUUUCGUCGGGGUGCAGACGGGGUUUGGAUCCGCUGAUCGUCAGGCUGCGCUUCGGAGCACUUGGUUCCCUUCCGAUCCGGAGGCUCUAGCUCGGUUCUUUCAUCGCCGGAGUCUCAUGGUAUUUCUUAUAUACUAUGUUAUCUGAUCAGUGGCUGCGGUCUUGCGUACAGGAACAAUUAUUGAGAACUUGAUUGCCUGGAGUAUUUGAAUCAGGCAAUGGGGCUAGCAACAACAUGCUUUCCAUCGGUCCACUCCAAUUGAUGGGGCGAAAGUAGUUGAGUUCUCAAUUGUUUGUUGGUAAAGAGAAGGUAUCACCUCUUUCUUGAGUUCUCAAUUCAUGUGUAGGCAUGGAAUUCUCCGGAAUUUAAAACUCGGUGUGAGAAAGCUACCGCAAACCGACUCACGGAGAUUGCAGGACCUGGAUCUGGUAUAUCCCGACACACAUGAGGUUCCAUUUCUCAUGCUUCCCAUGCGGAUAGAUUGGUAAUUUGUUUAAUAUUUAUAUAAAUGUGCUUUUAAAUUAUAAAGAAUUUGUUUGGUGCUAAUUGUAACAAAAUUCAAUUUGUUGUAUUAUUCUAGUUGGCGAUCAUG
Dioscorea cayenensis subsp. rotundata (Guinea yam) is the source of this 864-nucleotide RNA transcript. It is a transcript of the gene named probable beta-1,3-galactosyltransferase 14, with no coding region annotated. The transcript has 4 exons. The record is from RefSeq and is a predicted model, not a curated record. NCBI's taxonomy places the organism in Eukaryota, Viridiplantae, Streptophyta, Magnoliopsida, Dioscoreales, Dioscoreaceae.